This is a long non-coding RNA of Gorilla gorilla gorilla (western lowland gorilla), 914 nucleotides long. RefSeq lists it as uncharacterized. The transcript has 3 exons. NCBI's taxonomy places the organism in Eukaryota, Metazoa, Chordata, Mammalia, Primates, Hominidae. The record is from RefSeq and is a predicted model, not a curated record.
CCUCAGUCUCUCCAAACCGGGAUUCCCCUUUGGCCAUCUCUCAUUCUUUCAAUUCUAAAGAUGGAGACUGGUGAACGGCGGUGGGGUCUGCGGUGGGCGGUGUUUCGUCGCGACAGACUCUAGGAAAUUUCACGAUAGAACUAGCUUUAGGCGCUUGAGCCUUGCCGUCUUCUUGGGGUGUGGCCUGUCUCCGUCUGCCAAAGGCUUUGAGCUUCCUGGUGUUCAUCGUACCUCCGCUUGGUCCUGUCGUGACUAAACCACGACAGCAGGAAAAAAAAAAAAAAAAGCAGCUAGCCAAGUUGCUGAGGAAUUACGGUGUGCAGAGCCCUCGCAGCUCCUUCUCUUGGGAACUCCUGGUCUGGUUAGGUUCUCAGCGAGGAAACAGCCUCCCACCCCGCCCGAUUCCACCUAAUCAACUCAAGGGCCAGCUCCUUUUGCUGGCCUCCCUGCUUCCACGGAGCAGUUAGGCCCGCCUAAACUCAGCGAGCGUUUCUGGAGCACCUUGAGGAUAGGGACCAAGUAACAGAGUCCGGGUGUUGAGGUUAUGAUAGUAGUUAACGUUUUCGGAAAGAGACUGUGUCAGGCUCUGUGCUAAGAACUUUACAUGAAGUAUUUAUUCCUCAUGACUGUGAGCUCCUCUAGGACACUGAAAAAGCAUCCUAACAUGCUCAAGACAGGAUAGGAAAUGGUCCUCUGGCUUGAAAGACUCAGCAUCCAGAAGUAGUACCUCACUCUCCAUCCAGUGAUCACCCCCCAGAAAUGUGCUCUCCCUGUCUCACCAGGCCCUACCCACCUGCCUGGGAGCUGCCUGCCUCUUGAUGUGCUGACACCUGCUCCUGCUGCUGCUGCUGUUGCUGCUGCUGCUGCUGUUGCCGUUCUCUCAAGGGCUGGCGGAACUGAGCAGCCCCCAGGAC